UCACAGCUGAAAACCUGUGGCCCUGAAAAAUUUGCACAUUCAUAUCGUAAUGCUGUCUUCACAUUAAUAAAAGGACAUACCUUCUCACCUUAAGUUACAGUGUGGUAUUACCAGCAGCAUAGUCAUUCAGUCCUUAUUCCACCUUUUUCCAAGAGAAAGCAAAAAAUAACAACUGGAGUUAACAGAAUGCAGAUGAAAGUAUCAGAGGAGUCUGGAAAUCAUUCUUCAUGCCUGUAAGGAACUCAGAAAAGAUACUUCCUGUCUUAAAAUAGUCAAAGAGGGAGAAGAGAGAGAAAGGUCUUUUAUCUCCGGAAACAAGCCAUCUGCUUCCUUCAGCUGGGCUACCAACCAGAGAAUCAUCGUGGAAGCAGUGGUCACAUUUGUUGGCUUUGUUUUGUCCAUGUCCACAGGUUAUGCUUUUGUCUAAUAAAAGCCUUAUCGUUCAGAAA
This 449-nucleotide long non-coding RNA is filed under the name Numida meleagris (helmeted guineafowl). RNAcentral's name for it is "lncRNA (ENSNMEG00000006574.1)". Lineage: Eukaryota; Metazoa; Chordata; Aves; Galliformes; Numididae. The record is from RNAcentral.